RNAcentral lists this ribosomal RNA (161 nucleotides) under uncultured Bacteroidota bacterium. RNAcentral describes it as "uncultured Bacteroidetes bacterium partial 16S ribosomal RNA". It matches the Rfam family "Bacterial small subunit ribosomal RNA", at positions 353 to 525 of the family's 1533-position model. The record is from RNAcentral. Lineage: Bacteria; Pseudomonadati; Bacteroidota.
AGUGGGGAAGGCGGCGUACCUGGAGCUGCCUCGCCGCGUGAGUGAUGACGGUCUUAUGGGUUGUAAACUUCUUUUGUAGGGACGAAACUUAGGGCGUGUCGUGUUUGCAGGUACCGUACCAAUAAGGAUCGGCUAACUCCAUGCCAGCAGCCGCGGUAAUA